This 553-nucleotide small RNA is filed under the name Pan troglodytes (chimpanzee). RNAcentral's name for it is "retained intron". The record is from RNAcentral. Lineage: Eukaryota; Metazoa; Chordata; Mammalia; Primates; Hominidae.
CUUGCCACUAUUUGGUGAAUAGACCUAUGUCACACAUAUGCAAAAAUACAUAGUUGCUGAUAAAUGGUCAAAGUUAUAGAAGGCUAUUUUCCUUCAGUGCACUUAGCCAGCUAAUUUGCUGCUUCUUUUUUUUUUUAAACAGUUUCAGCUCCUGGCAUCAGCUCUAUUCAAAUCUGGUUCAGAUUUUACAGCUCUGGGCUUUUCUGAUGUGGAUCACACCUAUGCUCAAAGAACUCAGCUCUUUGACACCUUAGUAAAUUUCUUUCCUGACAGCAUGACUCCUCCUAAAGGCAACCUGGUAGACCUCAUCACACUGUAACUGAAGAGUCACUGGACACAGAAAUGGAAAACAGGAGUCGAUUUUCCGUCUUUUGGAUUGCAGCUCCACUGACUGACAGUAAAGCUGCAGUGAUUGAGGACUGCACCAGAGUUCUGAAGGGAUCUUAACCAUCACAAGUUUUUACCCUCUUCCUUCAUGCCUGACCUCAACCCCGCUCUCCUCAUCCUAUUCCUAAAUUAGGCUAAUAAAGUGAAAUUGGUAUACUUUCCAGUU